Molecule: unclassified non-coding RNA, 219 nt
Filed under: plant metagenome
Description: partial contains small subunit ribosomal RNA, internal transcribed spacer 1, and 5.8S ribosomal RNA
Rfam family: Eukaryotic small subunit ribosomal RNA (bases 1-54)
Source: RNAcentral
GCAAGUAAAAGUCGUAACAAGGUCUCCGUUGGUGAACCAGCGGAGGGAUCAUUACCGAGUUUACCACUCCCAAACCCCUGUGAACAUACCUCUCGUUGCCUCGGCGGUGCCCGCGCCGGCGCCGCGCCAGAGGACCCCCAAACUCUUGUUUUAUACAGUAUCUUCUGGGUAAAACGAUUAAAUAAAUCAAAACUUUCAACAACGGAUCUCUUGGUUCUG